Molecule: ribosomal RNA, 497 nt
Filed under: uncultured bacterium
Lineage: Bacteria
Description: partial 16S ribosomal RNA
Rfam family: Bacterial small subunit ribosomal RNA
Source: RNAcentral
GAUGAACGCUGGCGGCGUGCCUAAUACAUGCAAGUCGAGCGAACGGACGAGAAGCUUGCUUCUCUGAUGUUAGCGGCGGACGGGUGAGUAACACGUGGAUAACCUACCUAUAAGACUGGGAUAACUUCGGGAAACCGUAGCUAAUACCAGAUAAUAUUUUGAACCGCAUGGUUCAAAAGUGAAAGACGGUCUUGCUGUCUCUUAUAGAUGGAUCCGCGCUGCAUUAGCUAGUUGGUAAGGUAACGGCUUACCAAGGCAACGAUGCAUAGCCGACCUGAGAGGAUGAUCAGCCACACUGGAACUGAGACACGGUCCAGACUCCUACGGGAGGCAGCAGUAGGGAAUCUUCCGCAAUGGGCGAAAGCCUGACGGAGCAACGCCGCGUGAGUGAUGAAGGUCUUCGGAUCGUAAAACUCUGUUAUUAGGGAAGAACAUAUGUGUAAGUAACUGAGCACAUCUUGACGGUACCUAAUCAGAAAGCCACGGCUAACUACGUG